GCCAAUGCCAGGUGUCCCUGAGGGAAUGAACAGAACAGGAGAGGAGCUCCAGAAUUCUGUGGUGCGAAGUGUAAGAGAACAUCAGCACAUUGUAUUUUUACAAACCAGGAAUGAGAAUGAAUGGAACUGAGAGCGAAUGGAACUGAGAGCCGACAAUUGAAACUCUGCCAUGGUGCUCUGUGGGCUGUCUGAAAUCUAGCAGCAGCAGGGGAGUGUUUCUAGGUACUGUUGCAGAAGAGUCUCUGAGUGUGGGGGUGCUGUGAAGAUAGCAGAGUGGCAGUCAGAAUGGCAUCAGGUGUGCUGGGGAGUGCAUGAUAGAGCACUAAUUGCUACAUGCUGUGACAGAGUGAAGCAUAUGUUCUCCCCACCCCUGUGCAAACUGUGGUCUGACAGCGGCAAUGAAAGUAGGGUAGGAUUUGCCAUGCCUUGUUAAUAUGUGAGCUCCAUGGUUCUGUCCCCAUUUUCAUUGGAUUUUUACUUUCCUCCAUCCCACCACUGCAACUUUUUUUCUCCUAAGCAAAACCAGGAUGAAAUGAUAACUAACUUUAGAACCUGUGAGUAAUUGAUACCAAAUCUAUCUAACUGAUCAGUCUUAUUUAGUCUUUGGUAUUUCUGAGGCACCUUUUAAUCUUUGGUCUGGUUUUUCAGAGGAAUUGAAGGUGCUCAAAACCAGCUGAAAUCAGUGGGAACUCUCGAUGUUUAGCACCCUGGAGAAUCAUGCCCCUUGAAGCUAAGCAUUGAUGCCAAGUCAAAAAAAGUUGGCCUUUCCCUGCUGUACGAGUUUUGUGGUCUGCCCACUCCUGGUAAAUUCUAUACGUUGUUUUGAAAUUUCACUGGGCUUGUGUCAUCACAUUCUGUCAAGUUUUGAGAUAUUUACUGUACUUUUGGAUUUAUGACAUAAGGUAAAUUAGAGCCAAAUCAAGGAUGAUACAAGUAGAGAUAUCAUCUGGAGACUAAGGAGAGAUGAACUGGCUUCGAUAGUAGGGGAAAAAAAGCUUGAACCUUUGUCAGAACUUUAUGUAAGAUCUUUUGAGGCUUGAAAAUGUUAUGACUAGCAUUCCCCUUAAAUUAUGUUUUGUCCCUCCCCAUUCCCGUCUCUCUUCAAGAACUAGAAAUAAAACUGGCCACAAGGUAGGCUAUUCUUGCAGUAUUUCUUAAUCAACUAGAAGCAAGAAGGACUAUAUGUCUCUCCAAUUCAUUCCUAUCAGAUCUUCAGAUCACCUUUGCAGACCCAAGGCGAUGAGGUACCGGUAUCUCAGAUAAGCUAAAUAUUCAGUGUGGAAUCCUGGCUCCAUUUAAGUCAAUUGGAUGGUUGUCAUUGACUUAAAUGAUGCAAAGAUUUCACCAUUUGGGGUGCUUCUCCAAAUAAACAACAAAUGUACUUUCUGAAGUUCACCCAUCUCUAUAUAAGAUAUAGAACUGGCUUUCAGAAAAGAUGGAUUCAGUCCAGUUUUGCCAAUGACUUAUUCUGUGGCCUCGUGCAGAUUAUUGAACAUCUCCAUUCCCCAUUUCGACAGUGGAGAUUUUGAUACUUAACCACUUUUGUAAAGUGCUUUGAGAUUGAAAGAAGAACAGUACUAAAUUAUAUUAAUAAUAAAUUAUAGCAUAGGAGAUUAAAACAGGCGUAGUGUAUUUUAACUCAGGACCAAGUGAAAUUUCUAUUUAAGCACUUUCAUUCAAAGAAACUACGUCUUUUGUUUCCCUUGUGAUGGUCUGGUUUUGGAGCACAUUAAAUCGUGAUCAGUUGUGUCUUACGCAAAAAAAAAAA
This is a long non-coding RNA of Gopherus evgoodei (Goodes thornscrub tortoise), 1768 nucleotides long. RefSeq lists it as uncharacterized. The record is from RefSeq and is a predicted model, not a curated record. The transcript is spliced from 2 exons. NCBI's taxonomy places the organism in Eukaryota, Metazoa, Chordata, Testudines, Testudinidae.